Non-coding RNA from Pongo abelii (Sumatran orangutan), 157 nucleotides. NCBI's taxonomy places the organism in Eukaryota, Metazoa, Chordata, Mammalia, Primates, Hominidae. The record is from Rfam.
AUACUUACCUGGCAGGGGAGAUAACCAUGAUCACGAAGGUGGUUUUCCCAGGGCUAGGCUUAUCCAUUGCACUCUGGACGUGCUGACCCCUGCGAUGUCCCUAAAUAUGGGAAACUUGACUGCAUAAUUUGUGGUAGUGGGGCACUGCAUUCGCAAA